ACUCACUCGCAUUCUACCUACUCGGAAUAUUACGGUUCCCUUUACGAACCAACCAAGGAGGAGACCUCUCUAGCCCGUCGAGUAUUCAUUCCGUCUGUAAAGAAAGAGGAAGAAAGAGAGAAGGAGAGGGAGACGUACAUUCAGGACCCUCAACCCUUUCUGGGUUCGAUCUUGAGCGGGGCCCACCUGGCCUCUCUUCUCUUUCACCACCGUUUCUCACCGAUAGGCGUAACAUCGGAGACUUAUACCAACAAAUAUAGCGCAUACGCGUACGUUUGCGGUCGCGGAUGCAAACAUUAGAAGCACUUAUUAUACAUAUAAGAGGAUACAUAGUAAACGUAGGACUCAAUAUAUACACACACGUGGAUAGUUCAUUCUUGUCGGAUAAGCGCGUCGCGUCGUGUGCCGCUACCACCACCACACCACCACACAAGCAUCAACAUGCCGAUAGCAGCAGCAGCAGCACCUCCACUACCACUGCACUACCACCACCACGGCUACCACCACCAGCAAGAACAGUGCUAGAAGCAGUGGCAGAGCAAGCACCACCUCCUGUCGAGUGCUCUACACGCUCUCUCUUUCUCUCUUUCCCUCUCUCCCUCUCUCUUUCUACCUCUCUCUCUCUCUCUUUCUCUCUCUUUCUCAACGCUUACCUAGGAGCCGAGCGGAUAGAGAAAGAGGGAGGGAGAGCGGAAAAGAGAGAGGAGUCGUACUCUGUUGGUAGAGGGAGAGAGAAAGAGAAAGAGAGAGAGAGUUGGAGAGAGAGAUGUAGAGAGCACGAGAGAGGGUCUCGGCUUUGCGCAAAAGUUACGACCGAGUGAGUAGCAGUGAGACACACCGCGGAGACCGGAAGAGAUCCUCUCUCCCUAAACAAGUCCUCCUAAAGAAAAAGAAAGAGUGAAGUAAGUUUGUUAGUGCGUGUGUCAUAUGAAAGGAAAAAGUGUGAGAGAAAGAGGGAGAGAGAUCACGCGCGUGAAAACUUUGUCUUCGUCGUGUCGUCGUCGUCGUUGUCCAUACGAGCGUCCUAUGAUUAUAUUUUCGCGCGUGCAUGUGCCAUUCUCUUCCUCCCGUCUUAAUUCGCGACAGGUGACUCCGAGAUAGUGUUGUAUCCGUAGAGAAAAGUGUGUGACGUCGUCUAUUCGCGUUAACUUUAGUUAGUUCUUCACCAUUGAGGUAAUCUUCGGCACCAAGAGCACGUGGAUUUGUAAACCGACCGCGAAAAGAUCUUGCGUCGUCUAUCGUCCAGGGAUCUCUACUGAUGAGAGCGCGCGAAACUCGUUUCGUAGUUGGAUGGGCGCGCGUGGUGGACGUAUACCACGUGUCAAACAAAUCUUUUAAACAUAUACACAACUUUACUAGUACAUUUCGAGAAAUUCCAUUUUCUUUUUGAGUAUUUCGUAAUAUAUUCGUCCGUCCGUUCGUCCGUUUGUUAUAUUUACACAAAAGAAAUCUAAAAGAGAAAAUAAAUCUAGAGCAAUAAGUGACAACAACAAAAAUCCAUGAAACGAAAAGAAAAUAAGAAGAAUAAAAUUCAAGGAUUACAUAGAAGAAGAUCGAUCGAGUAAGCAAUGAAAGCAAUUGA
Molecule: long non-coding RNA, 1582 nt
Filed under: Polistes dominula (European paper wasp)
Lineage: Eukaryota; Metazoa; Arthropoda; Insecta; Hymenoptera; Vespidae
Description: uncharacterized LOC107071714
Source: RNAcentral